RNAcentral lists this ribosomal RNA (253 nucleotides) under uncultured bacterium. RNAcentral describes it as "partial 16S ribosomal RNA". It matches the Rfam family "Bacterial small subunit ribosomal RNA", at positions 524 to 776 of the family's 1533-position model. The record is from RNAcentral.
UACGUAGGGUGCGAGCGUUGUCCGGAAUUAUUGGGCGUAAAGGGCUCGUAGGCGGUUUGUCGCGUCGGGAGUGAAAACGCCGUGCUUAACACGGCGCUUGCUUUCGAUACGGGCAGACUAGAGGUAUUCAGGGGAGAACGGAAUUCCUGGUGUAGCGGUGAAAUGCGCAGAUAUCAGGAAGAACACCGAUGGCGAAGGCAGCUCUCUGGGACGGUACUGACGCUGAGACGCGAAAGCGUGGGGAGCGAACAGG